GACCCCACAAUUCCAUUGACCCCUUCCUUUUUGAUCACCAAUACCAUAAAACAAGGAAUAAAAAUUGAAAAUGUAGUGAUUAACACAGCUUAUUUCUUCAUGUCCAUUGGCCAUCAAACCUUUUAACACUUUCUCUUCCCCAAAAUUCGGAUCCUUUCUUCUUCCCUCUCUGAAUCCUUCAUCCAUUUUUGUUUGUUCAAUUUCCCCUAAAUUUGUAGGUUUGUUCUUGCACCAAACUCCUCCAUUUCGUUUCAGUUUCUACACAAUGUGUGGGAACCUUCCUAAUCCCUUUUAACUUUUUU
Molecule: unclassified non-coding RNA, 302 nt
Filed under: Hevea brasiliensis (rubber tree)
Lineage: Eukaryota; Viridiplantae; Streptophyta; Magnoliopsida; Malpighiales; Euphorbiaceae
Source: RNAcentral